GGUGGAGUUCCUGAGCGGCCAAAGGGACCUGACUGUAAAUCAGAUGCGAAAGCUUCGGGGGUUCAAAUCCCUCCUCCACCA
This 81-nucleotide transfer RNA is filed under the name Gleimia coleocanis DSM 15436. RNAcentral describes it as "Actinomyces coleocanis DSM 15436 tRNA". It matches the Rfam family "tRNA". From Rfam's summary of the family: Transfer RNA (tRNA) molecules are approximately 80 nucleotides in length. Their secondary structure includes four short double-helical elements and three loops (D, anti-codon, and T loops). RNAcentral also lists the same sequence under 2 other names. Lineage: Bacteria; Bacillati; Actinomycetota; Actinomycetes; Actinomycetales; Actinomycetaceae. The record is from Rfam by way of RNAcentral.